This 497-nucleotide ribosomal RNA is filed under the name uncultured bacterium. RNAcentral describes it as "partial 16S ribosomal RNA". It matches the Rfam family "Bacterial small subunit ribosomal RNA", at positions 28 to 507 of the family's 1533-position model. The record is from RNAcentral.
GAUGAACGCUGGCGGCGUGCCUAAUACAUGCAAGUCGAGCGAACAGAUGAGGAGCUUGCUCCUCUGACGUUAGCGGCGGACGGGUGAGUAACACGUGGAUAACCUACCUAUAAGACUGGGAUAACUUCGGGAAACCGGAGCUAAUACCGGAUAAUAUAUUGAACCGCAUGGUUCAAUAGUGAAAGACGGUUUUGCUGUCACUUAUAGAUGGAUCCGCGCCGCAUUAGCUAGUUGGUAAGGUAACGGCUUACCAAGGCAACGAUGCGUAGCCGACCGGAGAGGGUGGUAGCCGACACUGGAACGGAGACGGGGACAAGACUCCUACGGGAGGCAGCAGUAGGGAAUCUGCCGCAAUGGGCGAAAGCCUGACGGAGCAACGCCGCGUGAGUGAUGAAGGUCUUCGGAGCGUAAAACUCUGUUAUGAGGGAAGAACAAAUGUGUAAGUAACUAUGCACGUCGUGACGGUACCUAAUCAGAAAGCCACGGCUAACUACGUG